AGCAGCCGCGGUAAUUCCAGCUCCAAUAGCGUAUAUUAAAGUUGUUGCAGUUAAAAGCUGUAGUUGAAUUUUAGGCCUGGCCGGAUGGUCCGUCUUUGGCGAGUACUGUUCUGUCGUCGGUCUAUCCUUCUGGUGAGCCGGGAUGCCCUUUAUUGGGUGUGUCGGGGAACCAGGACCUUACCUUGAAAAAAUUAGAGUGUUUAAAGCGGGCAUUUGCUUGAAUAG
Molecule: ribosomal RNA, 225 nt
Filed under: uncultured Glomeromycotina
Lineage: Eukaryota; Fungi; Glomeromycota
Description: partial small subunit ribosomal RNA
Rfam family: Eukaryotic small subunit ribosomal RNA
Source: RNAcentral